This 473-nucleotide ribosomal RNA is filed under the name uncultured bacterium. Its description in RNAcentral is "bacterial SSU rRNA". It matches the Rfam family "Bacterial small subunit ribosomal RNA", at positions 29 to 524 of the family's 1533-position model. The record is from RNAcentral.
AACGAACGCUGGCGGCAGGCCUAACACAUGCAAGUCGAACGCCCCGCAAGGGGAGUGGCAGACGGGUGAGUAACGCGUGGGAACGUGCCCUUCGGUUCGGAAUAACUCAGGGAAACUUGAGCUAAUACCGGAUACGUCCGUAAGGAGAAAGAUUUAUCGCCGAAGGAUCGGCCCGCGUCGGAUUAGCUAGUUGGUGAGGUAACGGCCCACCAAGGCGACGAUCCGUAGCUGGUCUGAGAGGAUGAUCAGCCACACUGGGACUGAGACACGGCCCAGACUCCUACGGGAGGCAGCAGUGGGGAAUCUUGGACAAUGGGCGCAAGCCUGAUCCAGCCAUGCCGCGUGAGUGAAGAAGGCCUGCGGGUUGUAAAGCACUUUCAGUAGGAAGAAAAGACCGAGUGCUAAUAUCACUCGGUCUUGACGUUACUUACAGAAGAAGCACCGGCUAACUCCGUGCCAGCAGCCGCGGUAAC